Molecule: long non-coding RNA, 7810 nt
Organism: Neofelis nebulosa (Clouded leopard)
Lineage: Eukaryota; Metazoa; Chordata; Mammalia; Carnivora; Felidae
Exons: 3
Source: RefSeq, a predicted model, not a curated record
GCAACACUGCCAUCGUGAGGAAAUUGCUGGAAAAAGCCCCAAGGUUUCUUUUCUGAAAAGACUUUUACUUUGGAAAGGUCCAUUCGGUGGGGAGGCUGAUGGGCCGGGCCCCUAGCCUGAGCUCAGUGCCUCCUCCAGAGGCCUACCUGGAGCUCUGGAUAAAGGUGGGGUCCAGGUGUAGGUGGUGGUCGGUGGGGAGGCAAGACUGCCAGUAGCCGCCAGGAAGUCAGGGCACAGGAAGUCGUGGGGUGGGGUCUGGGUAUUCGCCCACUGUGGGCGGGACCAGAGGAAACCACUAACAGACAAAGUACUCGGCCUGGCCUGCGGGUCUCUCUCCCAGCCCCUCUGAGCACGUGGUGUUCCCAUGCUCUCGGACCUGGGCCUUAUGUGGUAGGAGAGUCUGAGCGCUGAGGACACGACAAUUCCUGGUGGCUUAUAGCAGGAGCAGAUGGGCUUGCUGGAGGUCUCAGGUGCACCCAAAUGGGAGCUGGGAGAGCCUGAAGACAAAUGGGACUAUCCAGCCAAGCCAAGAAUGGUUACACUUCUGUUACAAGAUCAGACUUUGCACAAACUGAUGGGAACCAAAAACAAAUGAAGAGGAUUCAAGAUGAACCCACAUUUCAAAAGUCCUUGUCUGCUGGAGGUGGCAUUACCUGUGACCUCGCCUCACUUCUCCGUAUAUGGCUGUUGUAGCAGGUACAUUGUAAAGAAGCAUGAUUGUUUCUAGAAAUGCAAAAACAGGUGGCAAAAUUGUAAAACGUGGACAUUCCAAAGAAUAUUUGAUGAUGUUUUUAAAAGCCUUCAAGCUACAAGCCCUGGAUCCCUAAGAAUUGCUCACUGAAGCAAAAAACAUGGCAAGAUGUUGGGGAUCAAAGCUGAGUGAAGAGCAGACCUACAAAGCCUUGGUGGAAUAAUUCUUGAAAACAUGGCUGAUGAGGGAAGAAAAAGUAAAGUGUUGGAACUUUGGGAUCAAACCGUCCUAGGUGUCUAAUACAAGGUAAAUGAAAUGGUAAAAUAAAGUAUGUCUUUUUGUACUUAUUACAUACAUGAUUAAUUCAAUUUGAAUACACAAAUAUGUAAGGAUUCGAAAAAGUGAAUAGGCACAAGGGAAGAAUCUGGAAAGCAUACAAACAGCUAACAGUGUCUAACUUUCUAGAGUGAUGUUUCCAAUGGCUUGCCUUCAACUUUUAAUUUUAUACUUGUCUGAAAUUUCUAAAUGUUGAAAGUGAGAAAAGCUUACAUUCAAGAUUAUUUUUCUUAAAAAUCAAGAAACCAACACAUACCAAUCUGUAGUUAAGAAAAGGGUAUAUCAAAAGAUGUAUUUUUCUUCUAAAAAUGUGCACAAGUCUAUGUACAUGCAAGACUUAAAAGCCUCGGACUUAAUUUUUAUGAAAAUGUAAUAUUUCCAAAUUCUGCUUGUCAGAAAAUCCAGUUUUCUAAAGCAUAUUUGAUGUCAUAUGAAGAGGCUUAUGUGAUGUAAGACCUGAGAAAACAGUAAUAGAAGGAAGCAACUUGAAUGGCAAGGAUAUUCUAUGUGUAUCAUGAAGUCCAAAGCCAUACCAACAGAUCCCAACAGCCUGCACACAUGUGCCCACACAUACACAAGUAUGUAAUAAAUGUAACAUAAAGGAGCAGAAUGCAAUAGGUCCAACAUCAGUGGCAUAUUUAUUGAGUCCCUGUGAAUUAAGAGUAUCAUUUUUUUGCUCAAUUGACUGAUUCUUUUCCAGAUGCAAGUUAUUCUUAUCAACAAUGAAGGAAUAUUAUGUGAUUUAACCAAAAAAAAAUUACCAGGUUGCUCAUUAAUAGUAAAUGCUGUUGGCAAGUACCCACUGUCCAAUGUUGAAUCAAAAACUCAUGACACCAAACUCCAUGUACAGUUUGAUGAGGAUGGCUGUUUAGAGUGUGUGUGUGAGUAUGUGUGUGUCACAUUGUGCUGAGGAAUAUGGGGAUAUAAUGAUGAGAUGUAGACUAAAUCUAUUUAGCUCUUGGGAAUAAUUAUAUAUCACUUGUAAUAUUUAAACCAGCGUACUCAUCAGGCUUCUUAUUAAUAGUGGUUCCCUUGGGAAAGAGGGAUAUGGGCUAAAGCGUUUCCAUUUGUUCUUGACAGAUUGUGUAUUCUAAGAGAUUUUUCGAGAAUCCUCUAAUAUAUUUGUCAUUUGAGAGCCAAUCGGGACAAUACGUGCAGAAGAAGUUAUUGAUGUAAACUGGAUUUGUUGGCCGUUUGAGACCUAAUGUGUUUAUAUCUCUAACUGAUCACAGAAAAGAGGAUUAAGGAUACCCUGUUUUGAAAAUCCUUGUGUGCUUGAGUGGGCAUUACUUGUGACUUCAGUGCACUUUAUGUAUGGCUAAUGUAUCUGGUAAUUUUGUAAGCGGGAAUGCUUAAUUCUAAGAAAUGCAUAAAAGUUGAGAGGCAACAUUAGAAAUUGGAAGUAUUCCAAGGAAUAUUUAAUGAUGUUUGCAAAGAACUCCAAACUAUAAUCGGUGAAGGAAGUGAUGUUUGAACAUUUGAGGUACGAGGGAACUAGGAUUUUAGGUUAAAAAAUACAUGAGCAAGAUGGGAGAAUGUAUAGCAUUAUAAGUUAUUCUAGUUUUGAUUGGUACCAUUUAUUUUUGGCUUCAUAAUUUCUCAAAAUGUUAACAGGUUGCCAUCAGCAGGUGUCACUCUUAAUUCCUUGGGAGACCUCUUUCUAGAAUAAAAUGUAAAGAAAUUUCAAGCUGGGGAAAAUAUAUGUUGAUGUGGGACCAUGCAGUUUAUAUUAGGUUAUGCAGAAGAUUUGUGCAAAAUUGCACCCAAUAGAAGUCAAAUUAUAAUUAAGGAGAAAUGUGUGUGUGUGUGUGUGUGUAUAAAAUAAUGAGGCAAUAAGCAUUUUUUAUAAUGUAUUUACUAAACUGAAGAGUUGAAAAUUUAUAUAAUAUUCUCAAAAUGCCCAGGAAUCAGGAGGAAAAAUUUCUUAUGUAAACCAUAAUGUAACAUCCAAUUUUAAUAUAAAUUUAUUGUGUAUGAAUGUAAAUAUAGAAGUCUGUGUAUUGGGAGGAGUGGAAAGACAUAAUCCAAAAGGUUAUCAGUGGUCAUAACAAGUUUUAUGGCAGUACUUUAUCCUCGAUCAGCACAUGGUUAUUUUUGAAUCCUUGGCAAACAUAGUUACUGAGGAAAAUGGUUUUAAGACUGAUCUCUUGAGAGAUAAAUGGUAAUACGUAUACACUUAGACCCUCAUCAGUAGAGUCCUAGGAGAGCAAUUGAAGGCCAUUUAGUGACAUGGGAAAGUGCUUGUGUUCCAAAUGGUAAAUGAAAGCAUGAGACAAAAUCCUGAGUAACCUCUGAUUGGAAUAUAUAUAUAUUCUGCCAUGCGGGGCACUGGAUGGCAUACAGCAAUGAGAGUAGUGUGGGCCCUCCUCUUAAGGCCCCAGUCAAAUGGCUGCCAACCAUUCAACACAUGCCUACAUCUUUACCCAGAAAAUGGAGACAUUCCUGAGAUCAUUAGAGAUGAGCCAGGCAAGGAAGCAUGGAUUGAUACCUAGAGAGACCCUCCUAGUUGAAUUUCCAGCAUUUCCUUUUUCUGUUUAGGCCAGGAUCCGUGAGAACUGCCCCCAGAACUAGACAGAAUUGACCUCGGGGAAAAUGCUGUAGAUGUAAUGCUGAGUGAACCAGAACAAAACUAUGAAGACUGGGCCUAGUGGAAAUUGAAUUCUUAAAGGAGAAGGUGCCUGAUAAAGGUGGUUACUUCUGGACCUCAGUUUGAUUUCUGAUGAAAGCCAAAGCUAAGUGCCUCAGUGUGAGCAGGUUUUCUUAAACUGGGCAAGAUACAAGGUAACCAUAUUUUCUGGCGCCUUCGCCUCUUUUUUUUUCAGACGGGAUGGGCGGGAGAAGAGGGCCUGGGGGAAGGGUACCGAAUAUUUGUUGGCAAAACUAGUGCACUACUGCCAUCCUGAGGAAAUCAUUUAAAAACAACCUACGCCGUUUUUGCGUUGUUUCCGUGAGGACUUUCGGUUCAGAAAGGUCCGUUCAGUGGAGAGGCUAAGCACGCCCUGGCCGCAAAUUGGACCUCUCUGGCUUAUCUGAGUUGUUGCGGGAACUCUGGCAAAGGACUCCUAACGGUACGACAGAACUGAGGUCUUGGCUUAGGAGCGGGUCAGUGAGGAGGCAGGACAGAACCAGGAAGUCCCGGCACCGGAAGUUGUGGGUGGGGCUUUGGUUUCUUCCUAGCAUGGGUGACGUUAGAAGAAGCUUUUUGGAGCUCAGUGCAGGCCUUAUUGUCUUCUGUCUCCUGUCCCAGCUCUUCAGAGGGUGAGGCAAGCUUGUUCACAGUGUUCUGGAGCCUUAGAGUCUGGGCUCCUUGUGUUAGCAGCAUCGCAGUGUGCUAUCGCAAGCCGGGCAAUUUGAGGCAGACGUGUGUACUGGGGGGGUCUCAGAUACAACAAAAGCCGGGAACCUACUGCUUGAGCAAGGAGGACAAGUUGAGAAGCAUCGGAAGCCAUCCUGCCAAGCCAAGACGACCCAAACCUUGUGCUACGGGAUCAGAGGCAUACACAUACGGACCCCAAAAUAGCAAGGAAGGUUACAAAGAAUUCUCUGAGCUCAAAGGCAGCAAAGGCAGUUGCUUGCUUCUGGUUUCUCAAAUCUCAGGCAAAGGCCUGUCAACAGGGCUCUGCUCUCAUCUCAGUUCUCUUGCUGGGCUUGGGGGAGAGGGAGACUUAACAGCUUUUAGUUGUCCCAGAGGAUGUGGAGGUCCUCGAAGCCUAGCUAUUCUCAUACUUACAUUUGUUCUCUGUCAUUGCUUCGUAAGUUCCCUACUUGAGGAUGCCUGGUAAGCUUGACAGGAGAGCCCACUGAGUGUUGAACAUUCUCAGACCUGUAUUUCUUCCUCCCCAAGAUAGCGGUGGAUGCCUAGAACUUCUUGGGAUUCACUCCCUGAUUGAGGAACACUGUGGUGCCCUUCUUUCCUUAUUACUCUGGCUCCAUUGGAUCUUUUAGAGUAGUUGAAGGUGAUUUUGUCUUGUGCUUGGGUGGGAGCUUCCUGUGACUGAAAAUAAUCAUUUCUAUUCCUGCUGCAUUUAAACUGGUGGCAGAUGGGUAAAGAAAUUAAAGAGGCAAUUUACAAAAGAAGAAAUCCAACUGUUUAUAAAUGAAAAGACACUGAAAUUUACUAGUGUUCAGGAAGCUGCAAUGGUCAACAAACAUUGUGUUUAUGUGUAUAUCAUUAAUUUAUAAAUAUAUGGACACGUAUUUAUAUAUAUUUAUCUAUGCAUACAUAUCUAUGUUAUGGAUAUAUAUGUAUGCAUAUUAAGUUAUAUAUAAUUUUUACUAUAUAUAGGUGUGUAUAUAUACAUGUAUGUGUAAAUAUAUGUAUGUAUAUAGAUGUAUACACACACACUAUUAAAUAAUUCUGUUAAGUCUUUUUUUCUCCAAGGCCUAGAGCAAAGUGUGGAACAUGGCAGGAACUAGAUAAGUAUCUUCUGAAUGAAUAUAGGAUUGCCUACACAUAUUGAGAGAUCUGGAAUGAAAAACAUCAAAGUGUGAAUACUAUUUACCACACUACCAUAUACUGCUUAGGAAUGGGUGAUGAUGCUUUUUUUUUUUUUUUUUUAACAUUUUUUUUACAAGAAAGUGUGUGUGUUUUUUUUUAAAAUUGAACAUUUACUUCAAUAUACUUAAAAAUAGGAUCCCAGGUUAUUUAAUAUCAUCAAUAAUAAGGCAUUUUUUAAAAUGCAUAUCUAUUUUAUUCUUGUCUAUUUCUCUUAGAGAUAAAUUUUAAGUUUUAAAAAUUAAGUUUUGCCUUUUAAAAAAAUUGUCUUCUGAAGACUCAUGACAUGAAAAGUUAAUGAUGCCAAGAGGGUAUGAAACUGAAACUCAAGUUUGUCCCACAUAUAAUCACAUCUAACCCACCCAUACAGAUAAUAUAAAUGAAAAGAAUACAGCAAAACAAAACUUAGCAGUACCUAUAUUGAGAUGAUAUGAUCACAGGUGUUCUUUAACUGCUCCCUGAUAAUAACUUAUUUCAUGGUGCCUAUAUUACAUUUGCAAUUUAGGCCAAAUGUAAAGCAAUUUCCAGAAUAAAGGGAUACAAGAAAGCUUACAAAGGGUAUUACAUUAUAUGGGAAAAUACUCAUGAUACAAUAUAAGAUGCAACCAAGGUAAGAUUUCUAGGUAACAUGGCAAGUUGAACAUGGCAUCUAAUUUUUUAUCCUGAUUUCCCUCCAAAGUGGAAGCAAAGAGAUUUUUCUAAAAGGUAUAAACUCACAAUACAGAAAAAGUAAGAGCAGAGACAGCAUCAAAAGUGUUUAGAAGCUGGCAGAUGGAAAAUGAUCAAAUUAAUAGUAGACAAAAGAAAAAUUAAUCCUGAUACAGCAGAGGGGAAAGUAGAGAACCAACCUGAUUUAAACCAAACUAGACUUUCACUGUGUUCAAAUUACACCUCAACAAACCUGACAGUACCUCUCCCAAGUAAAGAGGAGGAGGAAAUGGAAGAAGAUGAAGAAGAGGAGGAGUAAGAAAAAAGAGGAGAGAAGGAGGAAGAAGAGGAAGAAAUUAGAUUCCCUAAUUUCCUCCCCCGUUCUGUGCAGCUGGGCUACUGUGCCUCUCUACCUAAACAAAAUACAGGUGAUUAUUCUCUAAAAAAGCCAAAAUAAGUAUUCUCUGGACUGAGGACCAGCACAUAAAGUGGCAGGCUGGGUCACCCUACUGAAAACAGGGUAAGUGAAAAUGUGCCUACUGGAUGCUAAUAAACAUGGUCCUCUUCUUCAUUUGGUUUCUAGAACACUAGCAGCAAAGCUUUUGCCUUCUAGAGGGAAGAGCUGUAAAAGCCUUCUCUGGAGAAUUAAACUUCCAAGCCAGAUCACUCUACAGUGAAGUCCAGAAGCACUAUAUAAUCACUCAGAGUUUCGAAACCACAUUUACAUCAGUCUAGGAUUGAGUGGAAAACUAAGGAUUCUCAAGUAUCUAAAGGGAGCCCUAACAAGAAAGAUACAAACCAAAACAUAGAAGAACUAUCUUGGAGAAAACCAACUGAAAGGGAGAAGAUAACUUUAAAAGUUAAUUAUUAUCAGUGUCAUCACACAGGCAAGAGAUAAUGUUGCAGCUAUGACAGAAGAAAAGGCUACAAUGAGAAAGACCAAAGUUACAAGGGAAAGGAACAGUACAAAUAAAAAUAAAGUAGCAGAAAUACAAAACUCAACAAAGAGGUUGGAAAAAGACUUUACUUGUAAUAUCAAAAAUGGGAAAGAAAAAGAACUAAAAAGAAAAUUAUAGUAUAUCCGUAAAUGCCAUUGAUUAUCUGCAUAAUAGGAGUUCCCAGAAAUUUCACAGGAAUGUGGAAUAGGAUAUGCCACAUUGAAAGGAGCCAUCCAGUUGCCGGUGCAGUGGGUGAAAAGAGGAGGACAUAUUGGGAAACUUCAGAACCCUGGUAACAGAGGGAAGAUCAUAUAACUAACAUACUAAUAUGAAGAAACAGAAUGACUUUCAAAUUCUGAACAUCAACCCUGGAAUCUAGAAUGUAUUGGAACGAUGCCUUUAACAUUCUGGAAAAAAUAGUAUUUCCAGCUUAGAAUUUUAUACACAGCAAAACUUUCAAUGAAAUGUAAGGGUAAAAAUAUCCUCAAAUAUGCAAGGUCUUAAAAAUUUCCUCACGGGGCGCCUGGGUGGCUCAGUCGGUUAAGCGUCCGACUUUGGCUCAGGUCAUGAACUUGUGGUCUGUGAGUUCGAGCCCCACAUUGGGCUAUGUGCUGACAGCUCAGAGCCUGAAACCUGCUUCAGAUUCUGUGUCUCCCUCUCUCUCUCUGCCCUUCCCUUGCUCAUGCUCUGUGUCUCUCUGUC